AAUUUUGAGGAAAGAUUUGACUGAUUGCCACCUCGUAAAAAAAGCGCUAAAGCAGUAAUU
Galbibacter marinus is the source of this 60-nucleotide regulatory RNA element. The record is from Rfam. NCBI's taxonomy places the organism in Bacteria, Pseudomonadati, Bacteroidota, Flavobacteriia, Flavobacteriales, Flavobacteriaceae.